ACAUAAAAUAAUAUUACUAUUACAUAAAAUAAUAUUUUUAUUACAUAAAAUAACACCAAAAGUAAUAAUAAUAAUAAUAAUAAUAACCCACAAUGAGCCCAAUAUUUUACAAACAGUAUCUUUCCAAAAGUAGGCGUAAAGACCGGUUUUAGUAAUAAGGUUUAGUGAUUUAAAAUGAAGAGGUAAUCUAUUUCAUGAUUUUAUGCAUUGGUUUGUUAAUAUUAUUUACGUACAUAACUAAGUAAUGAUUAAGGAUAUAUAAUUUAAGGUUACUAAACGACGGAAGAUAAUAACAAGAACUUUUUAUAGCAGUAAAGAAAUAAUAGAUCGAGGGAGGGAGGUUAACUUGUGCCUGAUUCCAGACAAAUAGACAAUUUAAUAGAUGAACAAGAGCACACAAUUUGAUGAUUUUGGAUAGAAGAAAAGCAUAUUGCUGAUUUAAUAGUUUUAUUGUUCUAAUUGGUCAUAUGGUUCAUUCUUAUCAAAGUUACACAUGCUAGAAGAUCGUGUUAUUCGAUUUAUAAAAAAAUAGUCUUCUUAAAUCA
This is a long non-coding RNA of Hydra vulgaris (swiftwater hydra), 545 nucleotides long. RefSeq lists it as uncharacterized. NCBI's taxonomy places the organism in Eukaryota, Metazoa, Cnidaria, Hydrozoa, Anthoathecata, Hydridae. The record is from RefSeq and is a predicted model, not a curated record.